CAGUUGAAGGUUUUGAAUGCUGUGAAGGCAUCUUUGUAUCCCAUCUAAGCCCAGCACAGAGUGGUCCUGGGGGCCAGUGUUUUGGGCUAAAUGUGUUGUUUUGUCCUCAUGUGAGCUAGGAAAUACACUAGUCAUUGUUCUUUGCCAGUUUUACACAUAGCGUUUGCAAAGUUCAAGACAAACAUUGUAGUAAUCUGCCCUGCAGCUUCUCUCCUAUCCUCCCUCCUUUGGGGACUGGUUGGGAUGGGGAAGGAACUGUUAAAACUGAGCUCCCUGUUUCUGCUCAAGAAAGCCCCCAUGGUAGCUUGGCUGGGGCUCCCCUCCCUUUCUUAUCAAAUGAAAUCUGCCACUGAAGGAAAUUGACUUCUCCAGAUUGCAAGAGACAGGAAGCAGUGCUGAGAAGCAAUGUCCUAGGAGGGAAGCCAGAGAAUUAGCUCAAGGCCCAGCCCAGUCUAUGCCUGGCCCUGGCCUCCUUCCCUGCAGCUCUGUCCUGUUCUCACCACUUCCACCCCACUGCUCCUUUUCCUGGCUCCUGGCAUGUGAGCUGAAAGGGACGAUAGAAAUCAUCCAGGCUGCCUCUCCCAAGUCUUCCAGCUUGUGCUCGAGGCUUCCAGAGAUGGGACUCUUGCUGAUUCCUCAAGGAAUCAGCUCCAUUGUCCAGUUGAAAUCUGCCUCCUCCAGCCAUCCCCUUUGGCCCACCCAGGCCUCCCUUCUCCUCAAUCUCCAGGCUGACACCCCCUUUAACAGGAGAGGUCCUGAUAAAGGCAUGAGCUUCUCAGAAACUUACAAACCCAAAAACCACCUGGACCAGGACCUAAGCUGGAAGGAAAUGCUGAGAACAAUGCCGUUGGUGGCCCCUUUCCUUGCCAAGGAGAUGUGUGUGGUUUACCCUGAUGUUUACUGUGACCUUGACAUACUGCCUCUGCCCCCUCCUCUGUGCCCAGUGUCUUCUGGGAAGUGUUUCUCCUCCCUUUGGCUCACUUUGUUAAUUUUUGCAAAAAUAUCUAAAAGUAUAUUUAAAGACAUCAUGACAUUCUUCCCCUAAGAACAUCAGUAUACACCUUUUAAACAUAAAAAUACUCAUCAAUGAAUUUGGUAACUUUGCAGGAUACAAAAUUAAUACACAGAAAUCGACUGUAUUUCUUUUUUCUUUUUUCUUUUUUUUUUGUCUUUUUGCUAUUUCUUGGGCCGCUCCAGCGGCAUAUGGAGGUUCCCAGGCUAGGGGUCGAAUUGGAGCUGUAGCCAUUGGCCUAUGCCAGAGCCACAGCAACGCGGGAUCUGAGCCUCGUCUGCAACGUACACCACAGCUCACGGCAAUGCCGGAUCGUUAACCCACUGAGCAAGGGCAGGGACCGAACCCGCAACCUCAUGGUUCCUAGUCGGAUUCAUUAACCACUGCGCCACAACGGGAACUCCCUCGACUGUAUUUCUAUAUGCUAACAACAAAGGAUCAGAAAGAGAAAUUAAGGAAACAAUCUCAUUUACCAUCUCAUCAAAAAGAAUAAAAUACCUAGGAAUAAACCUACCUAAAGAAACAAAAGACCUAUACUCUGAAAACUAAUAAGAUGCUGAUGAACGAAAUCAAAGAUGACACAAACAGAUGGAAAGACAUGCCAUGCUCUUGGAUUAGAAGAAUCAGUAUUGUCAAAAUGACUAUACUACCCAAGGCAAUCUACAAAUUCAAUGCAAUCCCCAUCAAAUUACCAAGGAUGUUUUUUACAGAACUAGAACAAAAUAUUUUAAAGUUUUUUUUGGAGAUACAAAGGACUCAGAAUAGCCAAAGCCAUCUUGAGAAAGAAAAAUGGAGCUGGAGGAAUCAGGCUCCCUGACUUCAGACUAUACUACAAAGCUACAGUCAUCAAAAUCACAUGGUACUGGCACAAAGACAGAAAUAUAGAUCAGUGGAACAGGAUAGAAAGCCCAGAAUUAAACCCACAGACCUAGAGUCAACUAAUAUAAGACAAAAGAGGCAAGAAUAUAUGAUGGAGAAAAAACAGUCCCUUCAAUAAUUGCUGCUGGGAAAACUGGACAGCCACAUGUAAAAGAAUGAAAUUAGAACACUCCCUAACACCAUACACAAAAAUAAACUCAAAAUGGAUUAAAGACCUAAAUAUAAGACUGGAUACUAUAAAACCCUUAAAGGAAAACAUAGGCCAAACACUCUCUGACAUAAACCACAGCAAUAUCUUCUCAGAUCUACUUCCUAGAGUAAUGACAAUAAAAACAAAAAUAAACAAAUAGGACCUAAUUAAACUUAAAAGUUUCUGCACAGCAAAGGAAGCCCUAAACAAAACGAAGACAACCCACAGACUGGGAGAAAAUCUUUGCAAUUGAAUCGACUGACAAGGGAUUAAUCUCCAAAAUGCGUAAAUACCUCCUGCAGCUCAAACCAAAAAAACAAACAAUCCCAUCAAAAAAAUGGGCAGAGGAUCUAAACAGACAAUUCUCCAAAGAAGACAUACAGAUGGCCAAAACACACAUGAAAAGAUGUUCAUCAUCACUCAUUAUUAGAGAAAUGCACAUCAAAACUACUAUGAGGUACCACUUUACAACCUUACACCAGCCAGAAUGGCCAUCAUCAAAAGGUCUACAAACGAUAAAUGCUGAAGAGAGUUUGGAGAAAAGGGAACCCUCUUACACUGUUGGAGUGUAAAUUGGUGCAACCACUGUGGAAAACAGUAUGGAGAUUCCUCAGAAAACUAAAACAGAAUUACCAUUUGAUCCAGCAGUCCUACUUCUGGGCACCUAUCCAGAAAAGCCAUGACUUGAAAAGAUACAUGUACUCCAGUGUUCAUUGCAGCACUCUAUACAAUAGCCAAGACAUGGAAGCAACCUAAAUGUCCAUUAACAGAGGAGUGGAUCAAGAAGAUGGGAUAUUACUCAGCCAUAGAAAGGAAAGGAAUACUGGCAUUUUUAGCAACAUGGAUGGACCUAGAAAUGAUUGUGCUAGGUGAAGUCAGUCAGAUGGCGAGACACCAACAUAAAAUGCCACUUAUAUGUGGAAUCUAAAAAAAGGAUACAGUGAACUUCUUUGCAGAACACAUACUGACUCACAGACUUUGAAAAACUUAUGGUUUCCAAAGGAGACAGGUUGGGGGGUGGGGGAUUGGGCUGGGGGUUUGGGAUGGAAAUGCUAUAAAAUUGGGUUGUGAAGAUCAUUGUACAACUAUAAAUGUAAUAAAAUUAAUAGAGGUAAAAAAUAAAAAUAAAAGAUUUGGUGCAAAAGUAAAAAUAAAAAUUGAAAUUAAAAGAUAAAACAUAAAAAUAUUUUCCAGCCAAUGGAGUUCCUUCUGUAGUGCCAUGGAAUUGGCAGCAUCUUGGAAGCACUGGGGCACAAAUUCUAGCCCUGCAGGCUGUGGCUUGGGUCACAACUGCCACUCAGUUCUGAUCCCUGGCCCAGGAACUCCAUAUGAUGAGGGGUGGCCAAAAAAGAAAGAAAAAAUCCAGCCAAGUUGAAAUCAAAAUAUGAAACCCAACAAAAUUAUAAUUUUCUGAUAUUGUCUAACAUUCAAUCCAAGCUGAGCUGUUGAAGGGAGCAUCCCAUCUUCUGGGUUUAUCUGACUGCUUCUUUGUUGUAGUGUUCUAGUUGGUUCUUCUAUGCCCUUUAUUUCCUAGAAAUGGUUAAUUAGGUGUUUUGGGUUUGAUUCAACUCAAAUUAAACAUUUCAAGCAAGAAGAUACCCUCAGUGAUGUUGGCAUGUUGCCUCACAUCAGAAGACAUGUUCUCCUAUCAGUGAUGGAUUAGGUAUUGGCCCCUUCAUUGUGUUUUUUCCAUCUGUGACCAAAGAGAAGUCUGUGUGGUUGCUGUAUUAUAGCACUAUACAAAUGUCAAGUGAUGUGUAUUAUAUUUUAUUUUUGGCUGCGCCCAGGGCAUGCAAAAGUUCCCAGGUCAGAGAUUGAACCCAAGCCACAGCAGCAACAAUGCCAGGUCCUUAACCACUAGGCUGCCAUGGAACUCCCAAGUGAUGUAUUUUAAAGUCACAAAAUUGAUCAGAAAAAGAAAAGGCAGGUAUGGGGUGGACGGAGGUUCCAUCUCUGCUUUUAUGUUCUGUUGUUGUAUAAACCAUUUAACACUCAAGUCCUCAGUUUUCCUAUCUGUAAAAUAAAGGGUUUGAAAUAAAAGAUCUCUAAGAUUCCUUCUAGCUUUACACUUCUUUUUUAAAAGGAGGCUUAGGAGUUCUGUGACAGUGGGUUAUGGAUCUGGCGUUGUCACUGCAUCAGCUUGGGUCAGCUGUGGUGCAGGUUCAGUGCCUGGCCCGGGGACUUCCAUAU
RNAcentral lists this long non-coding RNA (4271 nucleotides) under Sus scrofa (pig). RNAcentral describes it as "lncRNA (ENSSSCG00000061104.1)". The record is from RNAcentral. Lineage: Eukaryota; Metazoa; Chordata; Mammalia; Artiodactyla; Suidae.